Long non-coding RNA from Bombus terrestris (buff-tailed bumblebee), 635 nucleotides. RefSeq lists it as uncharacterized. The transcript is spliced from 2 exons. Lineage: Eukaryota; Metazoa; Arthropoda; Insecta; Hymenoptera; Apidae. The record is from RefSeq and is a predicted model, not a curated record.
GCCCUGUCCCCUUCUCCGGAGGCAGACCCGUAUACCCGUAUAUCGAAGGAUGAAGCGUAAUUUAUUGUUUCAUUUAUGUGCUAAUAUUUUGUUGCAUUUGAGAUAUUCACGCAAUUCACGCAAAGGUUACAAAUUUUAUAGCUAGAAAUACAUAGAUAUACAUAUAAAAAAGAAUUUUAUCUUGUGGACCCCUAAAAGUGUACUGUCCUGUUCUACGAGAUUUUUCUGCGCAUGCGUUUCGCAGUCUCUGAUGUGUGCGCGACCUUGCAUAAUAAAUCUUAUGUGUCGUAUAGAGAAAUUUUUCUAUGUAUUUGUAAUUUGAAGCGUAGUGUUGCGACUUCGAUAAAUUCGUUACGAGAAACGGGCCCUAUGGAAAAUUACAGAGUCCGUUACGAGCAGCAAGGGACAGUUCACAAUCCCUUGAUCACUAAAGAUGAAUGAAUGAGUUACCCUUAUAACAAAAAUGGAUCGUUUUCGAAUGUUAAAUAAAAUGUAAAAUGUUAUUGUAUUUGUCGGUAAGUGGACUUUCUAAAAUUUUUAUAAUUUCCAAGUACACAUAUCUAAUCACGAUCAAUGAUUAUAUUUUUAAAAUGUUUGUAUUCAAAGACUGGACCAAUAAAUAGGAAUGAAUAGCA